RNAcentral lists this small RNA (754 nucleotides) under Pongo abelii (Sumatran orangutan). RNAcentral's name for it is "retained intron". The record is from RNAcentral. Lineage: Eukaryota; Metazoa; Chordata; Mammalia; Primates; Hominidae.
ACACGAGCCUCCCUUGCGAGCUAUCCCUGCAAGAAUUGAGUUCCUCACCCUCAAUUCGAGUGAAUUCCUAGCACAAACACGCCUCUUGCAGGUCCCCAGGGCUUCAGCUUGGGAAAGCAGUGGGUCCCUGCAGAGGAGUGGGGCCAGCUGCUGUGCCAGACACUGCAAAACACACCUGGCUUCUCUCCGACAGCCCCGCGGGUCGAGAGGACUGGCGCUGCCUGUGUCUUACUGAAAUUUAUUUUCGUGUAACCAUUUACUUUUAUGUGGAAAUUGAUAAGCUUUUGAUAAUAGUAGCAAAGCAGGAAGGACUGAGUGGGAACUACAGGCCAGUUGAAAGAAAAUACAUGACGUACUUGAGUGCUCAGGACCACGAGUUGACUCAAGUUGUACAUGGUGGACGCUUCCAGUAGCAUGACGUACUUGAGUGCUCAGGACCACGAGCUGACUCAAGUUGUACAGAAUGGACACUUACAGAUGUGUGGAAAAUCUGAGACAGGAAAUGAAGCCUCACCCGGACUGCCAAAAAGAGCAAGAUCCUGUCCAAGGAAGAACAGAAGGUGGUUGCGUUUCAUGAGUCGGGCCACGCCUUGGUGGGCUGGAUGCUGGAGCACACAGAGGCCGUGAUGAAGGUCUCCAUAGCCCCUCGGACAAACGCCGCCCUGGGCUUUGCUCAGAUGCUCCCCAGAGACCAGCACCUCUUCACCAAGGAGCAGCUGUUUGAGCGGAUGUGCAUGGCCCUGGGGGGACGGGC